RNAcentral lists this long non-coding RNA (669 nucleotides) under Homo sapiens (human). Its description in RNAcentral is "HSALNT0307439". The record is from RNAcentral. Lineage: Eukaryota; Metazoa; Chordata; Mammalia; Primates; Hominidae.
CUCUCACUGUUCUAGAAAUACUCCCAUUAGCCUAUGAUCUUUGCUUUGGCAUGGAGUCUGAUGACACAUUGAUACCAUUUUCUGCCUGUUAACCUACCAAAGGACACAAAACCCUCUUCAUUUCCCUAGAAGUACAUGUAAUAUUUCAAAAUGUAUCACGGGGCACAGCCAUCCCAGGAAAAAGAUGUAAGGUAAUGAGAUAACGUGAAGAAUUCUAGGCACUGAAACUCAAUUCUGGUGGUGAUUUUAGUCUGAGGAAACACAACAAAGGUCCUCAAGCACUAUAACUCCACAUACCAAGUGUGAAGCCACAUGUUCCCAGAUGAGUGAAGGCAGCGCUGGAACCCAGGGUCAGGCCAAGAAGAAUGGGAUCGUCAUGACUGGCUGGGAAAUGAAUCAUGGGCAGCCCAGACGCAGGGCUUUGAUCAGUCCAGCUUCCUCCUCCUAAGAAGUUUCCACCAGAACAUUGCUUGGUGACAUAGUGGUCUUCACCCUGAGCGUCUACAAAUGUAUGUUAAGUUGCUAUUAAGGACCUGUGGACAGAGAAGGCACACCACCACAGAUACUAUAUUUUCUACAAAUUGAAGAUUUGUGGCAAACCUGCAUUGACCAAGUCUAUCGGCACGAUUUUACCAACAACAUAUGCUCACUUGGUGUCUCUUUGUCACA